AUGAUUCCCCUGUGGAUCCUGGCGCUGGUCGCGGCCGUGUGCGCCUUCUUCUGCGGGCCGGUGGUGAUGAUGCAUGGGCCGGGAGCCGCCGGGCUGCUCACUAGCCGGGCGGCGUUCGAAGCCUUCCCCAAGCUUUACUACUACCUGCUCCGCACGUACGGACCCGCCGCGGCCGUGUUCGUGUUCCGUCACCUCCCCCAGUGCCUGAUCUCGAUCUUGGCUUUUAUUUUCGGUAUGUGA
This 240-nucleotide ribosomal RNA is filed under the name Triticum aestivum (bread wheat). RNAcentral describes it as "partial small subunit ribosomal RNA". The record is from RNAcentral. Lineage: Eukaryota; Viridiplantae; Streptophyta; Magnoliopsida; Poales; Poaceae.